This 21-nucleotide non-coding RNA is filed under the name Arabidopsis thaliana (thale cress). The record is from RNAcentral. Lineage: Eukaryota; Viridiplantae; Streptophyta; Magnoliopsida; Brassicales; Brassicaceae.
GUAUCCCUCUUGAGCUGCCUA